Molecule: ribosomal RNA, 267 nt
Filed under: uncultured bacterium
Lineage: Bacteria
Description: partial 16S ribosomal RNA
Rfam family: Bacterial small subunit ribosomal RNA
Source: RNAcentral
GUCCACGCCGUAAACGAUGAGUGCUAAGUGUUGGAGGGCUUCCACCCUUCAGUGCUGCAGUUAACGCAUUAAGCACUCCGCCUGGGGAGUACGGCCGCAAGGCUGAAACUCAAAAGGAAUUGACGGGGGACCCGCACAAGCGGUGGAGCAAUGUGGUUUAAAUUCGAAGCAACGCGAAGAACCUUACCAGGUCUUGACAUCCCUUGACACUCCUAGAGAUAGGACGUUCCUUCGGGGACAAGGUGACAGGUGGUGCAUGGUUGUCGU